Molecule: ribosomal RNA, 194 nt
Filed under: uncultured bacterium
Lineage: Bacteria
Description: partial 16S ribosomal RNA
Rfam family: Bacterial small subunit ribosomal RNA
Source: RNAcentral
GCAACUCGAGUGCAUGAAGCUGGAAUCGCUAGUAAUCGCGAAUCAGAAUGUCGCGGUGAAUACGUUCCCGGGUCUUGUACACACCGCCCGUCACACCAUGGGAGCCGACAACGCCCGAAGUCAGUGACCUAACCGAGAGGGAGGAGCUGCCGAAGGCGGGGUUGGUAACUGGGGUGAAGUCGUAACAAGGUAUC